This 117-nucleotide ribosomal RNA is filed under the name Bacteroidota bacterium. The record is from RNAcentral. Lineage: Bacteria; Pseudomonadati; Bacteroidota.
UCUGGUGGUUAUAGCCAAGGUGAAACACCUCUUCCCAUUCCGAACAGAGAAGUUAAGACCUUGAACGCCGAUGGUACUGCAUGGGCAACUGUGUGGGAGAGUAGGUAGCUGCCAGGA